Molecule: ribosomal RNA, 301 nt
Filed under: uncultured bacterium
Lineage: Bacteria
Description: partial 16S ribosomal RNA
Rfam family: Bacterial small subunit ribosomal RNA
Source: RNAcentral
CAGUAGCCGCGGGAAAACGGAGGGGGCUAGCGUUGUUCGGAAUUACUGGGCGUAAAGCGCACGUAGGCGGCUUUGUAAGUUAGAGGUGAAAGCCCGGAGCUCAGCUCCGGAAUUGCCUUUAAGACUGCAGAGCUAGCAGGUGAGAGAGGUGAGUGGAAUUCCGAGUGUAGAGGUGAAAUUCGUAGAUAUUCGGAAGAACACCAGUGGCGAAGGCGGCUCACUGGCUCAUACUGGACGCUGAGGUGCGAAAGCGUGGGGAGCAAACAGGAUUAGAUACCCCCGUAGUCCCUGUCUCUUAUAC